GCAAACUUGGUCAUUUAGAGGAAGUAAAAGUCGUAACAAGGUUUCCGUAGGUGAACCUGCGGAAGGAUCAUUAUCGGGAGUGCCUUCGUGGCUCAACCUGCAACCCGGUGUUGUUACCACUCAACUGCCCUUUGGCGGUUCAUCCGCCAAAAGCAAUCUCAAACUCACUGUGAAUGUGUCAUGAUCUUAACUAAAAUUCAAUAAAAUUAAAACUUUCAACAACGGAUCUCUUGGUUCUGGCAUCGAUGAAGAACGCAGC
RNAcentral lists this unclassified non-coding RNA (259 nucleotides) under uncultured fungus. RNAcentral describes it as "partial contains small subunit ribosomal RNA, internal transcribed spacer 1, and 5.8S ribosomal RNA". The stretch from base 1 to 73 matches the Rfam family "Eukaryotic small subunit ribosomal RNA", at positions 1759 to 1831 of the family's 1831-position model. The record is from RNAcentral. Lineage: Eukaryota; Fungi.